RNAcentral lists this long non-coding RNA (240 nucleotides) under Olea europaea (common olive). RNAcentral describes it as "long non-coding RNA (OEUR_LNC005436)". Lineage: Eukaryota; Viridiplantae; Streptophyta; Magnoliopsida; Lamiales; Oleaceae. The record is from RNAcentral.
UUUUCUUGGAAAUAUCAAAAAGUAUUUUCGAGGCUUCAAAAGCCUCUCUAUCACUAUCAAUAGAAGCCUCGCGAUCUUCAUUAACAUGGUCAAGGAAUUCUAGGGUAGUCCCAGAUGAUAAAGGAUGAUGCGGUUGCGUCGCAAAGAGCUGAAAUCCAUUUAACGAAGAAGCUGCAUAGGGGACGGAUCCCUAGGUCUAAAACCUCCAACUCUAGAGUCCUGAGAAAUUUUUUGGGAAUU